CAUAUUCAAAGAAAAUUUCUUCCUUUAUUGACGUUUUCCAUGAAAAUUCAAUGAAUAUGUAAUAAAAAGUGUGCGGCCGAAAGAAAAUUACGAGAAAAAACGAAGAGGGUUUAAAAUGAAAACCGUGUAAUUCUUUUCCUUUAUUUUUCAUUAAUUGAAAAAUAUCUGCGUAGUAUAAAUAUUUUUAUUUAAUUUCUCUCAAUUUUUGUAAUUAAACCAAACUGCAACAUUUUUAAAGUUUGCAAAAGGAGAGAAGUUGUAUUUAAGGAAAACAGAACAAAUUUGCAAACUGUUAAUGAAAUGAUGUGAAACUCUAGAAAUGUGAAAAUUUAUUAGUUGAAAAAUGUGGAUAACCAAUAAAAAUAGAUUCAAAAAGAAAACCACCAAAAAUUGGAGAAAAUUUCGAAAAAUAUCUCAAGUGAUAAUUCGCAUAGAAUAAUAAGCGUAAUAAUAAUAAGUAAUAAAGUAAAUAUAAAUAAAAAAAUAUAAAAGUGACUGAUUUUAAAUUCUGCGUGUAAGAAAUUAAGAGUUUCUUUAUGAACAUGGACACUAACAAUGUUACAGACAGUGUUGGAGCUGAUAGAGUUGGUGAAUUAUCAUCCCGCAGUCUUCCCUCCCUGUUUGGUCUGUGUAAUAGCCCAGUUAGCACAAUGGCAGGUAAAGAUUUAGAUGGACUAAUUGCUUUGAACGAUAGUGCGUUGUCGCAGCAAAUUGAGUUUAUAUUGCAAGAUGCUACUAUGGAGCAAGAGGAUGAAACGCAAGAGUUAAUGCAACAGAAUCUACGACAGCAUAACGAAGUACGAAUAGCAAAAGAAACGGUGAGUGUUGAUUAUGAUAGUAAUUCUCAAGCAACCAGUAUGUCACCGACGACAGCAAUAAAACUUGAAACCCCACCGACUUCAACUACUCCUAUAACGAGCGCUUCCGAAUUAAGUCAAACCGGGCUAGAAGCUGAAUUUACACACAUCGAUUCUCCACAAAGCCAACAACAACAACACCAACAUCAUAAUCAUCAUCUGCUAAAUGGUCGUCGUAUAAUUGUGCGAUCUUCAGAUAUGAAUGAACUGACAGCUAUGAAUAUAAGUGCAGCGCAACAAUUAAUUCAUCAAGCAGAGGUGGAGGACCCGGAACUGAACGAUGAAAAUCUACAAGAUAUCGAAGAAGAAGCUAAGGCAGCUGAAGCGGAUGAAGAGCCCGUUCAAUUACAUAGCGCUCAAAUAAAGUUAGAGGAUUCAGAAAUGGUUGAUGAGGUGCUAGCGGAGGGCAACGCUAUGGAUUACAUUAAAGGAAGGGCCAUUAAUAACCAAACAGCUACUGCUCAACUGGUAUUUCCAGCUGGCUCAAUAGUGAGCACUGGUGGUACAACAAGUACACGCUCCAUAACUGUGCCCGUAUCUGAGGCUUUGGCUCAGUUGCAAAGGCGACCUGUUUAUAUAAGUAAUGCAAUAGGUAAUAUGCAGGGUACUUUGGUGCGUAUGCCGGCGGUAAUAAGCCGCAAUGGCUCUAUGGCGGUGCUUAAUGUUGUCCAACAAGGGGGAAGUGGCGUUGCUGGGACAACUACGCAACUUAUAUUACAAGCUACUCCUGUGGCAGCAAAUGGUACCUCCACCGUUGCGACUGCACCUAUGAUGGUGGCCGCUUCCUCGCAGACAAAUAAACUGACGGCUACUGGCAUAUCACCAAGCUCCUCUCCGACUUCUAAUGCAUCGCCAAUGAUGGUGACAAGUACUCCGACGAAUACCAAAAACAUCAUAAAUGGUUCACCAAGUUUUAAUAGAAUUGUAGCAAACACCGCCACAACACUGGCGGUAGCAGCACAAAGUAAUGCGAAUCCUUCGAUGAGCGCUGCCAUAUCACAACACAUACCACCAAACAAUAGUACUAAUAACUUAAUGACGAAUGGACAACACCUUGACACUCAUCCGAUAGCUUCGACGUCGGCAGCUGCCUUAGCUAAUCUCAAUGCUUUGCAUAGUAAUAAUACUUCUACAUCGGCAGCAUCUUACAGUAAUAUUUCGUCAGUGACGUCGUCGACGACUUCUUCCUCUACUUCAAGUGCAUCAGUAAACACAGCAACAACGUCUUCACAGCCAAUCUCGUCAGGAAAUGCUGCGGGAGCUACUGUUUAUCAAUGCGUAGAUUGUGUGGAGAAAUUCGAUUCCAAGGAUUUAUUUGAUAUACAUCGUUCCGGGCACGCUAACAAUAUGAAAUGCGCCAUUUGUAAUAUGGUUUUGAAAUCGUUGAAAAACUAUGAAAAGCAUUGUCUACGUUGUAAACCAUACGAAUGUCAAAUAUGCGGACGUGUAGUACGCUUUCGUCCCAAUUUUAUUAAGCACAUGCGCGUCCAUACUGGUCAGCAGUCGGAACGGCACAAGUAUAAAUGUGAAGUAUGUCACAAGGAAUUCAUGAGCUUUGAAUAUUUCAAAGUACAUAAAAAGAUACACAAUGAAAAUGUCAAUCUGACCUGCGAAAUAUGUGGUAAAGUGUUCAGUGCUCUUGCAUCAUUGAGAGGCCACUCUAAGCUGCAUUCAGGCGUCAAAUUGCAUAAAUGCGACGUGUGCGGUAAAGGUUUUGGUCAACGUUACAAUCUAAAAAUUCAUGCUCGCACUCAUACCGGUGAUUUUCCAUUUGAAUGUAAGAUUUGCAAAAAGAAACUACACACUCAGUCAUCACUGCAAAAUCAUAUGCAAGUGCAUCAGCGUGAUAAUCCCACACAGCAGUCGGUGUCAUCGUCAUCAACCACAGCUACAACUAUACGCUAUCAGACUUCAAAUGCUAAUAAUAGUACAGAUACAAGUACAAGUUCCGGCGGUACGAGUGCCCAAAAUUCGCCAACAUCAUCCACCGUGCACAAAGUUGAACAUCACUCAACUUCGAAGCUACGCAGUCACAGUGGACGCACUGUUUUACAAAAUCCACAAUCAUUAAUGGAGCUUGAUAUAAAGCAUGAUGGCCAUGGUGGCGGUAAUAUUGAGGACGGACGCGACAAUAAUAAUCGGGAUGAUGACGAUGAUGAUGACAAUUCCACCAUGAGUGAUGGUCAUAGUUUGGCUCAGCAAUUUCUAACGACACCGAAUGUCGGAAGAAAUGUUGUUGAUGAUUCCCUUUCGGAAUCGUCAAGUAACUCAUCGAAUGAGCAACAGAAGCUGCAACAAGAGCAACCACAUUUAAUGUUGGGCACACCGACGCGUACUAUAGUUAUCAAUAAUUACAUGCAAACAGAUCAAGAUGGUCACCAGCAACAACAACAACAUCAGCAAAAUCAUGCUCAAGUUAUACGUCAAAAUAGUAGCAAUAGCAGUAACAGUGCAUUGCAGCAGCAACUGAUGCGUAAGACUCCGAUAAUACAUUCGACCAAUGGUGUGUCGUCCUGCACCACUUUAUCAUCUUCGGUAGUGCAGCAUAUUGGCACUCCACCUUCACCAAAAAUUGCGGUGGCCUCGAGUUCCUCAACCGUUUUAGUUAAUAAAUUGGGCUCUGUACCCCUAUCAUUGGCUUCAGCCGCAGCAUUUGGAUCCUCAACAAUUAUACGUAGUACUCACAACUCGCAACAACAACAACAACAACAACAACAGCCCAUAAACCUUAAUAACAGCAAUAACAGUAAUAACCAGAACCAAACCCAGAACCACCAACGUUCGUAUCAACGAAAUAACCACCGAAACCACCACCGACGUCGCCAUCUAGCCGAUUUAGAUGACGAUGAUGAUGACGAUGACCACAUAAACGAGCAUAGAGUAAAUUUACAUCGUUCCCAUAAAGGGCGCAACUUCGAUGAUGACGAUGAUGUCGUAGUCGAUGAAAAAACCUCCCCGUCCUUGGCACUGACGGCCAUCAAAGUUGAACCGAAUUUAUAUUCAUCCGGUGAUAAUUCAAAUGAAAUGCUUAUCAAAGAAGAAGCCAUAUUCGAUGAUUCACCAACACCCAACUCACCACAAUCACCGCCCAGUUCACGGUAUCGUAUGUCUAAUUUUGAACACGAUUUAGAGCAUCACGUCGAUUUAAGUCAUUCAUUACCAACGUAUGGUUAUCUUUUGGAUCAUCACUCUAUACCGGACGGUAUACCCUCACAAUUGUACGCCGAUGAUGAUGAUUUCAAAUUAGAUCAUAGCUCAUUGACAGGUUUAAAUAAUAGUACUUCAUCGAUAACAACCGAUGGAGAUUACAUUAAGAAGGAAUGGUCAUACGGUACCGAUUCAGCAUACACUAUGAAUGGUAAAUUUGACGAGGAUAGUGAUGUUUUAUGUGAUGCUGCAAAUUUCAUGUAUAACUGAUUGGAGGAUAUACCUCCAUCACCGGUUUUGGUGGAUGGUUGAUAUGAAUUAAUAGAGGUUUAGAAUCGGAUAACAAUUCAAAAAGUAAAUCCAAGUAAACAACAUUAAAUGAAGCAAAUUUAUUAUUCUUAUUAUUUAGCUGAAAUAUGCUCCUAACAAAUGCCAACAUUAGCAAGUAUUCUUAUAUAUAUUAAAAAAAAAAACAGAAAAAAAAAAAAACAAAACAAGUGUGUGUAUGUGUAUAUGUUUAGAACGAAAUCAGUUUUCAACGUAACGGGAAGCGGUUUUAUUUUUUUCCGUUGGCAACUAAACUUCAAGUUUGAGUUUACAUUUGACAAAGAGUAUAAAAAGCAUAAUUUAAAAGGAAAAAAAAAAAAAAGGAAAAAAGAAAAAAAACUACUCCUCGCAUAAAACAAAAUAAACAAAAAUAUUUAUACAGACUAGCUACAAAGUCCAUCAGAGUAAGGAUCAAACGGAUUUGAGACUUCAAGCAGACAAAGGCAGAUCAAGGCAGAGAUGAAUCCUAAGUAUAUACACUUUCUGCGAUAAGCAUUCUUGGAAUUAUGAAGCCAAUAUUCUAUCCUCCAGAGGCCGGUAUAAAACAAGUUUUGAAAUAUUUUUCUCGUUUUUAACAAUGUAAUAAGAAGACGCCUAGUUUUGAGCGUAUAACAUGAGAAUUUUAUUGUCUAUUUUAUAGAAGAGUAAGUUAGAUUUUUUUUCCUUUUUUUAAAAUUUCUUUUAUUUACUUUUUUUAUUAUGUUAAAUUUUUUACUUUAUUUUUUCGAAGUUUUUUUAAGUCGAGAAUAAUCGAGAAUAAGAAAGCAAACUUUAUCGCCAUAAAGUUAAAAAAGCAAUAAGAAAAUAAUAAUAAUAAAUAAAUCAAUAAUAAUAAUAAUAAUAAUAAUAAUAAAAAUAAUAAUAACAAUAAAGAAACUGUGGACCAAUUGCACUCAAUUUAGACAUCAAAUCUUCAGUAACUUUUCAUAUCUAGCCUGGCAAUGUUAAUUAGAAUUUUUACUUUGAUUAAGUUUUCUCUAUCUCAGUACAAAAAGUUUUUCUUCUUUAUAUAUAAUAAGGUAACCGAGUUGUUUAUAAGAAGUGAUUUUAAUUAAUUUUAAAAAUCAUCGCCGGGAAAGCUUUACUAUUUUUGAAAAACAUGCUCUCAAUACCCGAUAAUGAAUGGUAUCGUAAAUCAUUUUAUGUCUAAGAAGCUUUUGCAUAUAAUGUGAUCUUUAAAUGAAAUCAAAAGCAAAACCAAUUUUACAUAAUUUUCUUAAAAAAAAAAAAAAUAAAAGAAAUAUCUCAUGUCUUUCUCAUCAUCGGGAAUUGUGGUCGAAAAGAGAUUAAGAGCAGCAAUAUUUUUAGUCUACCUUGCAGUAUGAAGUUCCCUUUCGGCUCAAGGUCUUCUCUUACUAAGCAAGAAAUAGUGGGUUAAUCGAGCGGGUACAACUUUUAAAUAUUUUUACAAUUAAUUUUUGCUUGAAAUUGUUGUAAACAAAAGAGUAAAUCUUCCCGGUGAAUAUAUCGUUCAAUCCAAAAAAUCAUAUAUAUAUUGGAAAUUUUUUUACAUGAAACCGCAAAGGGUCCACCCAAUACCAUGCAAAAAGUAAAGGAAUGUUUUUAGUAGAAAUAAUGCGACAUUUGGCUGUUUUUUUUAAUGGAAAUCACUCUCUUUUUUUUCGUUUUUAAGACUUGAGAUGCAACAGUCGCUGCCUUAUUGGAGGGUAGCUGCGUGGAAGUUAUGUGCAACACGAAGACCUUCUUAAACCGGCAGAAUUGGCAUUGCGUUUUUUUACAAACAAGCUUAAAACUUUAUAACAAAAAAAUCCCUGAAAAGUUGCGGGAGGAUUAUAAUAAUUAUUAAUCUUGUUUCGAUUUUUGUAAGACACCGUCGCAAAGUUUCAUUGGCGUUAUUAGUCAACCGUUGGAAAUUUAAGACAUUUCACCAAAUUUAAAAUAAACGUUAGGGUCGUCGGACAAACGAUACUCGUAAUCAUUGAAAAACAUGAACAGACUGAAGAUUGGGAAACAAUGACACGUUUAUCACUAAACGGCGAAAAAUAACGAACGCAUCUAUGGGUUUCAAUUGAGUGUUUGCCUGAGGUCGAAGUUGCAGGCAAAGUCGAUGACAUUUUAUUUGAUUACGGAUAUAUCCCUCUAGCCGCCAUACUUGUAAUUUGGGCAUGACUUGUGCCACUAUGAAAUUUUUUGAAGGGCGAAGGGCCGCUUCUGGUUAUCAAUUGAUGGAACAAAUACCGUUCCGGUCGCUCCAUAGGACCACCGUAAUAGAAGAAGUGUAGAAGUAGGCCUCAAUCAGGGCCUAGUUUACGGGACUCGAUAUCAUCGGGUAUGUACUCAAUUCCUCUCAUUCAUUGGAGAUAUAGACAACGGGGCAUUAAUAAUAGCAUUAGUAGUAUAUCAAUAACAAUAUAAAUUCAAAUAAACGACAAAGAGAAGAAGAAAAAAGCAAAUAAAUAAGCUUAACAAUAAUUCAAAUAAAUGAUUUCCAAUAUAUAUGUAGAUUAAGCUACCACGACUGAGCACUUCUUGGCACAAUUUACUAUAGAUAUUCCUUAGUAUAUCAAUCAUCUCAUCGCAAAUAAUCAUAUGGUUUUGCCAACGCAUUUUGCCAACGCAUUUUCCCUUUGAAUGCGGUACUCGACAGCGUUAUUGUUCUCGAGAAAUUUUCCGCUCAAUAAUGGCAAAAGUGCAUACUUUGUCGACUGUCGGCAAGCACGCUACUCAAUACACCGACACGAAAUGAAGAAAUUACGAUCGAGUUUAUUCGACACGGAGUUCCGUAAUUUGACGGUAGAUCUUGCAGCCUAUUGGCUGCCUGUAAUUACUUUCUAUAUACCUUGCCCAGUACAAGUGACUCUAUAGGUAGAUGUUGAUAUGAAUAUGUUCGUUAAAAUAGGAUUUGUCAUAAGUGAAGAAGAAGCGGGUCUCUUAACGAACUUUAUUUUCUCCAAUAAUUCCAAUUUUUCGUCGACAGUGAUUGUGCGAUUCACUUUUAUAUAAGAAAGCACAUUGUAGUGACAUUUGUAUUCCUUUAUCUUGGAUCAAUUCAAUAUCUAUCGGCGCUGGCGCAGAUAACUCAUCAAUUACAGAAAAUAUCUGCAAAUAUAAUCAUACCUUAUGUACUUUCUGUAUUUGUCAUGCUAGCUUAACUGAAUAUGGAAUUUUUGUUUAAUCCGCGAAGCAAUCAAAUAAAAAAAAUGGCAUGAUAUAUAUAUAUCUAUAUAUAUAUAUAUAUAUAUAUAUAUUUAUAUAUAUAUAUAUGCAUGCACGAGAAGGAUCUUAGAGAUCUAUGGGAUGGUAGAUUUAUACAAUCUGGCUGAAUCUCUUUUAUCCAGUUUACUUAUUAUCUACACACUACAAGGUUACCUAUUGAAGUGUCAUGUAUUAUUUUCUUAAUUUUUUUUAGUCAUUUUUGUGUCAGAUCACAGACUUAAUGCUUUUCGUAAGUCCAACGAUUUCAUUCUUUUUUUUUCUUUUUUCUUUCUUAAUUUUUUUUUUUGUUUUGUAAGAUUCGUUUUCUCAUAUAAAUCAUGUAAAGUUUGAAAGUGCAAUCAAAUUCCUCCCAUAAAAAACCGUUUAUUUAUCUCAAAUGUUAUGCGAAAUCAACUCGUCUUAAAAAAAGAAAGGAAAAAAAAUUAACUUAAAAAAAAAUAGAAAUUAAAGGUAAAAAGAAAAAAU
This is an RNA transcript of Glossina fuscipes, 7973 nucleotides long. RefSeq lists it as uncharacterized. Lineage: Eukaryota; Metazoa; Arthropoda; Insecta; Diptera; Glossinidae. The record is from RefSeq and is a predicted model, not a curated record. The transcript is spliced from 4 exons.